AGUGAACGCUGGCGGUAGGCCUAACACAUGCAAGUCGAACGGCAGCACAGUAAGAGCUUGCUCUUACGGGUGGCGAGUGGCGGACGGGUGAGGAAUACAUCGGAAUCUACUUUUUCGUGGGGGAUAACGUAGGGAAACUUACGCUAAUACCGCAUACGACCUACGGGUGAAAGCAGGGGAUCUUCGGACCUUGCGCGAUUGAAUGAGCCGAUGUCGGAUUAGCUAGUUGGCGGGGUAAAGGCCCACCAAGGCGACGAUCCGUAGCUGGUCUGAGAGGAUGAUAAGCCACACGGGAAAUGAGAAACGGGCCAGACUCCUACGGGAGGCAGCAGGGGGGAAUAUUGGCAAAGGGGGGCAAGCCUGAUCCAGCCAUACCGGGGGGGUGAAGAAGGCCUUCGGGUUGUAAAGCCCUUUUGUUGGGAAAAAAAAGCAGCAGGUUAAAACCCCGCUGUUCUGACGGUACCCAAAGAAAAAGCCCCGGCUAACUUCGU
Molecule: ribosomal RNA, 491 nt
Filed under: uncultured bacterium
Lineage: Bacteria
Description: partial 16S ribosomal RNA
Rfam family: Bacterial small subunit ribosomal RNA
Source: RNAcentral